UACUUACUUCCUCCGUCUAACAAAGUAUAAGUAUGUCUCAACUUUGACUAAAUUUGAAUACAUCUACACACUAAGUCAUGUUUAGAUACAUUCAAUUUUUGACAAACAUGAGACAUCUUUUGUUGGACGGAGGGAGUAUUAU
Non-coding RNA from Brachypodium distachyon (stiff brome), 142 nucleotides. The record is from Rfam. Lineage: Eukaryota; Viridiplantae; Streptophyta; Magnoliopsida; Poales; Poaceae.